RNAcentral lists this ribosomal RNA (253 nucleotides) under uncultured bacterium. Its description in RNAcentral is "partial 16S ribosomal RNA". It matches the Rfam family "Bacterial small subunit ribosomal RNA", at positions 524 to 776 of the family's 1533-position model. The record is from RNAcentral.
UACGAAGGGGGCUAGCGUUGCUCGGAAUUACUGGGCGUAAAGCGCACGUAGGCGGCUUCUUAAGUCGGAGGUGAAAUCCUGGAGCUCAACUCCAGAACUGCCUUCGAUACUGGGAAGCUCGAGUCCGGGAGAGGUGAGUGGAACUGCGAGUGUAGAGGUGAAAUUCGUAGAUAUUCGCAAGAACACCAGUGGCGAAGGCGGCUCACUGGCCCAUUACUGACGCUGAGGCACGAAAGCGUGGGGAGCAAACAGG